Molecule: ribosomal RNA, 253 nt
Filed under: uncultured bacterium
Lineage: Bacteria
Description: partial 16S ribosomal RNA
Rfam family: Bacterial small subunit ribosomal RNA
Source: RNAcentral
UACGUAGGGUGCAAGCGUUAAUCGGAAUUACUGGGCGUAAAGCGCGCGUAGGUGGUUCGUUAAGUUGGAUGUGAAAUCCCCGGGCUCAACCUGGGAACUGCAUCCAAAACUGGCGAGCUAGAGUAUGGUAGAGGGUGGUGGAAUUUCCUGUGUAACGGUGAAAUGCGUAGAUAUAGGAAGGAACACCAGUGGCGAAGGCGACCACCUGGACUGAUACUGACACUGAGGUGCGAAAGCGUGGGGAGCAAACAGG